This 347-nucleotide unclassified non-coding RNA is filed under the name uncultured fungus. RNAcentral describes it as "sequence contains ITS1". The stretch from base 1 to 102 matches the Rfam family "5.8S ribosomal RNA", at positions 50 to 154 of the family's 154-position model. The record is from RNAcentral. Lineage: Eukaryota; Fungi.
AAAGUGCGAAAAGUGUCAUGACUUGCAGAUUCCCGAGAGCUGACAAAUCUCUGAAUGCAAAUGGCAGCCGAGUGAGACCCGGCUAUGUAUUGUAGAGUGUAGACGCUCCAGCUAUUCAUCAUUCCCAUCCUCUCUUUAUCCAUAGAGAGUGAACGAAUGUAUCUGCGCUUGUACACUAGACUAAUCUAGCUGUACGAGUGUUAAAUGUAAAGGUCGGUGAAGGAGAGGUCACACUCAACUUCACAAGGAGCACCGAUGAAACCAAUAAAUCUCAUUGUGUGUCUUCAACACGACGAACUCAAAUUCAUGAGCCACCUCUAUGAUGCAUGAUAACCCGCUGAACUUAA